RNAcentral lists this ribosomal RNA (408 nucleotides) under uncultured bacterium. RNAcentral describes it as "partial 16S ribosomal RNA". It matches the Rfam family "Bacterial small subunit ribosomal RNA", at positions 28 to 526 of the family's 1533-position model. The record is from RNAcentral.
GACGAACGCUGGCGGCGUGCUUAACACAUGCAAGUCGAACGAAGUGGCGAACGGGUGAGUAACGCGUAAUCAACCUGCCCUUCAGAGGGGGACAACAGUUGGAAACGACUGCUAAUACCGCAUACUUAAGGAGGGGAUUGCGUCUGAUUGGCUAGUUGGAGGGGUAACGGCCCACCAAGUCGAUGAUCAGUAGACAGUCGAAGAGGAUGAGCGGCCACAAUGGGACUGAGACACUGCCCAGACUCCUACGGGAGGCAGCAUGGGGGAAUCUUCCGAAAUGGACGAAAGUCUGACGGAGCAACGCCGCGUGAGUGAUGACGGCCUUCGGGUUGUAGAGCUCUGUUAAUCGGGACGCAGUACCGGAAUAGAAAGCCACGGCUAACUACGUGCCAGCAGCCGCGGUAAUAC